This 412-nucleotide ribosomal RNA is filed under the name uncultured microorganism. RNAcentral's name for it is "bacterial SSU rRNA". It matches the Rfam family "Bacterial small subunit ribosomal RNA", at positions 9 to 417 of the family's 1533-position model. The record is from RNAcentral.
GAGUUUGAUCGUGGCUCAGAUUGAACGCUGGCGGCAUGCCUUACACAUGCAAGUCGAACGGCAGCAUGAUCUAGCUUGCUAGAUUGAUGGCGAGUGGCGAACGGGUGAGUAAUACAUCGGAACGUGCCCUGUAGUGGGGGAUCACUAGUCGAAAGAUUAGCUAAUACCGCAUACGACCUGAGGGUGAAAGUGGGGGACCGCAAGGCCUCAUGCUAUAGGAGCGGCCGAUGUCUGAUUAGCUAGUUGGUGGGGUAAAGGCCCACCAAGGCGACGAUCAGUAGCUGGUCUGAGAGGACGAUCAGCCACACUGGGACUGAGACACGGCCCAGACUCCUACGGGAGGCAGCAGUGGGGAAUUUUGGACAAUGGGCGAAAGCCUGAUCCAGCAAUGCCGCGUGUGUGAAGAAGGCCU